AGUUUGAUCCUGGCUCAGAACGAACGCUGGCGGCAUGCCUAACACAUGCAAGUCGAACGAAGUCUUCGGACUUAGUGGCGCACGGGUGCGUAACGCGUGGGAAUCUGCCCUUGGGUGCGGAAUAACUUCUCGAAAGGGAUGCUAAUACCGCAUAAUGUCGUAAGACCAAAGAUUUAUCGCCCAAGGAUGAGCCCGCGUAAGAUUAGCUAGUUGGUGGGGUAAAAGCCUACCAAGGCGACGAUCUUUAGCUGGUCUGAGAGGAUGAUCAGCCACACUGGGACUGAGACACGGCCCAGACUCCUACGGGAGGCAGCAGUGGGGAAUAUUGGACAAUGGGCGAAAGCCUGAUCCAGCAAUGCCGCGUGAGUGAUGAAGGCCCUAGGGUUGUAAAGCUCUUUUACCAGGGAUGAUAAUGACAGUACCUGGAGAAUAAGCUCCGGCUAACUCCGUG
This 451-nucleotide ribosomal RNA is filed under the name uncultured bacterium. RNAcentral describes it as "bacterial SSU rRNA". It matches the Rfam family "Bacterial small subunit ribosomal RNA", at positions 10 to 507 of the family's 1533-position model. The record is from RNAcentral.